GACGAACGCUGGCGGCGUGCUUAACACAUGCAAGUCGAACGGAAAGGCCCUGCUUUUGUGGGGUGCUCGAGUGGCGAACGGGUGAGUAACACGUGAGUAACCUGCCCUUGACUUUGGGAUAACUUCAGGAAACUGGGGCUAAUACCGGAUAGGAGCUCCUGCUGCAUGGAGGGCGUUGGAAAGUUUCGGCGGUUGGGGAUGGACUCGCGGCUUAUCAGCUUGUUGGUGGGGUAGUGGCUUACCAAGGCUUUGACGGAUAGCCGGCCUGGGAGGGUGACCGGCCACAAUGGGACUGAGAUACGGCCCAGACUCCUACGGGAGGCAGAAGUGGGGAAUAUUGCACAAUGGGCGGAAGCCUGAUGCAGAGACGCCGGGUGCGGGAUGACGGCCUUCGGGUUGUGAACCGCUGUCGCCUGUGACGAAGCGUGAGUGACGGUAAUGGGUAAAGAAGCACCGGCUAACUACGUG
RNAcentral lists this ribosomal RNA (468 nucleotides) under uncultured bacterium. RNAcentral's name for it is "partial 16S ribosomal RNA". It matches the Rfam family "Bacterial small subunit ribosomal RNA", at positions 28 to 507 of the family's 1533-position model. The record is from RNAcentral.